RNAcentral lists this transfer RNA (85 nucleotides) under Felis catus (domestic cat). It matches the Rfam family "tRNA". Rfam says of the family: Transfer RNA (tRNA) molecules are approximately 80 nucleotides in length. Their secondary structure includes four short double-helical elements and three loops (D, anti-codon, and T loops). RNAcentral also lists the same sequence under 1 other name. The record is from Rfam by way of RNAcentral. Lineage: Eukaryota; Metazoa; Chordata; Mammalia; Carnivora; Felidae.
ACCUGGGUGGCUCAGUCGGUUGAGCGUCUGACUUCGGCUCAGGUCAUGAUCUCACAGUCUGUGAGUUCGAGCCCCACGUCGGGUU